GUAGGUGAACCUGCGGAAGGAUCAUUAACACGUAUCCACGUAUCAACCAACCGUGAACUUGUUUUCACUCACUUAUUUCACCCCCCUUUUUGCUAGUUGACUUUUAUAUGUUGGUAUAUUCGUACUUUAUUGUAUGAGUGCAUCACACGUUUAUUAUUUGAACGUUAAAAUUACAACUCUUAGCAAUGGAUAUCUUGGUUCUCGCAUCGAUGAAGAACGCAGCAUCUGACUGACUCGACAGCUGACAAUC
Molecule: unclassified non-coding RNA, 250 nt
Filed under: plant metagenome
Description: partial contains small subunit ribosomal RNA, internal transcribed spacer 1, and 5.8S ribosomal RNA
Rfam family: 5.8S ribosomal RNA (bases 175-250)
Source: RNAcentral